GAUGAACGCUGGCGGCGUGCCUAAUACAUGCCAGUCGAGCGAACGGACGAGAAGCUUGCUUCUCUGAUGUUAGCGGUGGACGGGUGAGUAACACGUGGAUAACCUACCUAUAAGACUGGGAUAACUUCGGGAAACCGGAGCUAAUACCGGAUGAUAUUUUGAACCGCAUGGUUCAAAAGUGAAAGACGGUCUUGCUGUCACUUAUAGAUGGAUCCGCGCUGCAUUAGCUAGUUGGUAAGGUAACGGCUUACCAAGGCAACGAUGCAUAGCCGACCUGAGAGGGUGAUCGGCCACACUGGAACUGAGACACGGUCCAGACUCCUACGGGAGGCAGCAGUAGGGAAUCUUCCGCAAUGGGCGAAAGCCUGACGGAGCAACGCCGCGUGAGUGAUGAAGGUCUUCGGAUCGUAAAACUCUGUUAUUAGGGAAGAACAUAUGUGUAAGUAACUGUGCACAUCUUGACGGUACCUAAUCAGAAAGCCACGGCUAACUACGUG
RNAcentral lists this ribosomal RNA (497 nucleotides) under uncultured bacterium. Its description in RNAcentral is "partial 16S ribosomal RNA". It matches the Rfam family "Bacterial small subunit ribosomal RNA", at positions 28 to 507 of the family's 1533-position model. The record is from RNAcentral.